CCCCCGCCGCUCCCAUUUGCGCACACCACCUUUCGUCCGUUCCGUCCGUGAGAGAGAGAGAGAGCGGCAAUGACGAAGCCGGCCGAUCGGCCACGGUUGACGAUGGAGGACUACGUCCUCUUCUUCACCGCCCGCAGCGGUCGAGGCCUCACCGUCGACCAACUCAACUAGGUCGGGCAGAUCCCUCCUCCAUCUCCCUCUCCGCGCCCAUGUCCGCCGCCCUCCUUCCCUUAACUUCUCCUGUUCGCGUCGCAGAUCCUCUUCCCUUCAUGCACGGCUUCAAGAAGUUCCACAAGUCCAACAAGUUCCCUCUGCUUCCCAAGAGCAGCCUGCUGCAGAGGCUGAUCGUGGAGGCGAGCCAGGGCGGCGCCGACGAGGUCCGCGUGGACGGCCUCCCCGGCGGCGCGAGGGCCUUUGAGAUCUGCGCCAAGUGCUGCUACGGCAUGGUGGUCACGCUCAACCCGUACAACGUCGUGGCCGCGAGGUGCACCGCCUUGGCAUGACGGAGGACGUGGACAAGAGCAACCUCGUGUUCAAGAUCGAGGUGUUCCUCAACUCGGGCGUCUUCCGGAGCUGGAAGGACUCCAUCAUCGCGCUGCAGAGCACCGUCGCGCUGCUGCCGUGGUCCGAGGAGCUCAGGCUCGUCGCGCGGUGCAUCGACUCCAUCGCCGCCAAGGCCACGGCCAGCCCCGGGAGCGUGGUCUGGUCCUACACGUACAACCGGAAGGCGGCGUCCUCUGAUGAGAUCGUCGAGGCUCGCCGGUGCUCGUCGUCGCCGCCGGCGGUGCCACGGGACUGGUGGGUGGAGGACCUGUGCGAGCUGGACCUGGAGCUCUACAAGCGCGUCAUGGUGGCGGUCAAGUCCACGGGGGAUAGGCUGCCUCCCGAUGUCGUCGGGGAAGCUCUCAGGGCCUACGCCGCGAGGUGGCUCCCCGAGAGUUGCCGGCGCGGCGACAUCCCGGCAGAUGAUGACGAUGCUUGCUCCUUGGAAGUGCUCGAGACCAUCGUGUGGCUCAUGCCGUCCGACGGCGACGGGUCGUCGCCGUGCGGCUACUCGUGCCAGUUCCUCCUGAACCUAGUGAAGCUCGCCGUCCUGGUCGGGGCAGGGGAGCUGCUGAGGGAGGAACUCCUGGACAGGAUCGUCCUGCAGCUGCACGAUGCAUCGGUGAACGAUCUCCUGAUACCGGCCAAGCCGCCGGCGCAGACCGCCUACGACGUCGACCUGGUCGAGGCGCUGGUCGGCCGGUACACGCGGCGCGCCGGAGUGGACGACAUUGACGGGGAGGAUGUGUUCGAGACGAACGUGGAGGCGGACGGCCCUUCCUUGCCGGCGCUGUGCAAGCUCGUCGACGGGUACUUGACCGAGGUCGCCGCCUACCCGAACCUGCCGGUUUCGAGCUUCGUCGGGCUGUCGACCUCCAUGCCGGAGUCGGCCAGGCCAUCGCACGAUGCCCUGUACACUGCCAUUGAUGUCUUCCUCAAGAUGCACCCGAAUCUGUCCAAGGUGGAGAAGAGGAGGAUCUCGAGCCUGAUGGACGUGAAGAAGCUGUCCAAGGAGGCGAGCAUCCACGCGGCGCAGAACGACCGCCUCCCGCUGCGCGUGGUGCUGCAGGUGCUCUUCUUCGAGCAGAUGCGCGCGGCGGCGGCGGGGAGCACGAGCGUGGCGCUCCUGCUGGCCAUCGCCGGCGACGGCAACGCGCACCUGGAACUGGACGACGACGACGGCGGCGGCGACUGCUGGAAGAACCGCGCGUUGGCUCUGCCGGAGCCACCGACCCCGUCCGCGGCCCUGAGGAAGCAGAUCGGGAGCAUGAGCCUGAAGCUGGUGGGCGAGGACCGCCGCCGCGCCGAGGUCGUCGUCAGCGACGGGCGGCGCUCCUCGCCAGCAUCGCGAACCAGAGCAGCAGGAUGUCGCUGUCGUCGCGGUCGCGGCGGAUCUUCGACCGGCUGUGGGUGGUCGGGAAGCCGCCGGGGCCGGGCGAGGUGGUGAGCAAGAGCUCCGACACGUCCGGGAGCUCGCAGAGCCCGCGGUCGUCGGGCAAGCCGCUGGGGUCCCACAAGUCGUCCGGCGGCUCGUCGUCGAGGAACUGGCGCUACUCGGUGUCGUAGGCUGGCGGCAGAGGCCGAGGCUGGCUGUACAGAGGAGUCGGUCGCCGUCGCCGGACCAGUGGACACCGACGACGGGUCAACUGCUGCUUGCAUUGCAUGCAUGCUAACUUGGAACUUCGAUUCGGGGGUCUGCUUUUUCCGGAGAACGAUCAGCUGUGGUAGAAUUUAGUGAUCUUUAUGAUUGUUUCGUCUGAACUUGACACGAUGGGCUGGUCCUUCUCUUCUGUUAGAACUCAUGGUGCUAUUCGAUCAGCAGUCAAUCUUCAAUGCAGAUCCCCGAACGGAUAUCAUUUUAGUUGCCUGCAUCGUUUUUGACAUCUUUGCAUACUUGUCUCGCAAAUGCCAUGUCAAAACCAAUAGUUGCAUGUCUUGAUUGGUUGCAUGUAUUGCAUGAGUGGUCAAUUAAGGCCUGUUAUUUGGUUGCCUGCAUUUGUAAACACAUCUGUUUGGCUGGUUGUAAGUAGUUGCAGUAGUUUCUUUCUACCCCUAAUGAUCUGAUCUUGUUGGUGA
RNA transcript from Hordeum vulgare subsp. vulgare (domesticated barley), 2619 nucleotides. It is a transcript of the gene named BTB/POZ domain-containing protein NPY1-like, with no coding region annotated. The transcript is spliced from 3 exons. The record is from RefSeq and is a predicted model, not a curated record. NCBI's taxonomy places the organism in Eukaryota, Viridiplantae, Streptophyta, Magnoliopsida, Poales, Poaceae.